RNAcentral lists this long non-coding RNA (525 nucleotides) under Mus caroli (Ryukyu mouse). Its description in RNAcentral is "lncRNA (MGP_CAROLIEiJ_G0005820.1)". Lineage: Eukaryota; Metazoa; Chordata; Mammalia; Rodentia; Muridae. The record is from RNAcentral.
CUCUCUCUCUCUCCUAUCCCUCCUCUCCAUCUCCCUAUUGCAUUGUGUCUGACUGAUUUUCAGAGCACCUUCGCUGUUUCUCUCUCUCUCUCUCUCUCUCUCUCUCUCUCUCUCUCAUUCUCUUUCUGUAAAAUAUCUAGACAGGAAGGAGGUGGCUGCAGGAGCUGAACAAACAAUCUCACAUUCUGCCUGCAAUGUCAUCGUUCUCUCCCUCAUUUUAGGGGGGUGAAGUUACCCAGGAAGGGAUGCAGAGGAGCUGAAAAGGAAGGGGGGGUUCUCCAGAGGCUGCUGCGGUCAGGGGCAGGGACUGCCACCAGAUGUGCCUGCCUUUCUAGGCUUUGAUUCGAAAGGGACAGCAGGAGGAAAUAUUGAGAGACAAAAGCCUCGGUUUAAAUGAUCAUUUUCUUUAUUUAAUAUGGCAGCAGACACACUCUGCAUAGGAUCAUCGUUCCGAGCACAAACUGGACUUUCCUACUUGCCUGACAGGAGUCACACAGAUCCCUGUUUGCUAAAUGAGCAUCCGAG